AGAUUCUUGCACCAGCCCUUCCUUCUAUAAACGAGAGCUACACGCCAGGAUUUUGUGGUUCCUACGUUCCAUGGAGUCAUGUCACGCCUCAUCAUGUUACCGACUUAUUGUAUGAUGGCAGCAUCGUCUCAGGUCUUUCGCUGCACAGGUUUGGCUUCAUUAAUCCGGGAGGCUACACAUUUGAAGUGCUUCCUCACACGGGGUGGUUCAUCCUUGUUGGAGUGCCAUUUCACCGCAGGACUCUCAGCCUAUGCAACCUGAAGCCGACGACGUUGGGCCUGCUGUUCACUGGGACGGGCUUGCGAGAUGGCUCUCGAGGCAUGCAGCGUUUU
Molecule: long non-coding RNA, 332 nt
Filed under: Dermacentor andersoni
Lineage: Eukaryota; Metazoa; Arthropoda; Arachnida; Ixodida; Ixodidae
Description: uncharacterized LOC126541550
Source: RNAcentral